GCAAGAGGGUGACAUCAAAGACAGCUUUAAUUCUCUAACUGGGAGAAUUCACCCUCUUUGAAAUCCUGAGAAGUUAAAGAUUGUAGAAUCAGAGCUACAUACAGUAGUGGACUUGCAAUGUGCUGCUGUAGUGUGGAGACCACACAGCUGUGGCCACACGGACAGAAGGAAGUUCCUGACCUGCCCAGGUGUUCCAAGUACCCCAGCCCAGCUGCCACACAUCCUGCUUCUCCGGACCCCAGAGAGUCACUCUAGACGAGAAUGCUCCUCACCAUGUUCCGCAGCCCACUGAGAACUGCUUUAUCUGUGAUCCUCAGAGCUACUCUGAACACCACAAGGCAGAUCCACCAGUACUGGUUCUCUCAAAACCUUCUUCCAUCUUUCACCUUCUCUGAUGCCAUCCUGGGGCCUCCAGCACAUGCUGACAUCCAACAAAUCUGCCCAUGCAAGAACAUUUGUGCCGGUCAUUUCCCAAGACUCAUCUGUAACAUUCUGGUGCUCAGUUAAGUAAAGAAUGUGUAAAGAAUCAGGAUGCAGUGUAGUAAUUAACAGUGGAACAACUGUUUCAGAGUGUUUGCACUUAAUAAUAUGACACUGAUAAAUAUUUCAAUAAAUAUAGAUCUACACAACUAUUUUUAAUGAUUGAAUAAUAUUCCAUUCUGGAUAUAUGUCAUUUAUUUCAUAAAUGUCUCACUGAUGAAAUCAUUUUUUAACUUUGACUGUCCUUAAUAGCACUGCAGUUAAUAUUUUGCUAAUCUAAUAAUGAAAAACAGCUCUUGUGCUUUCAUUUCUAUUCUUAAUCUUUAGUGAGUUUUAAUUUUUUGUAGGCUAUUUAUAUUCACAGAUGAAUUACUACCUUCAUUUUUCUGUAAAAUGUUUUCAUCUUAUUGAUUCAUAAGAACGCUUUGUAUAUUAGAGAUACCAACCCUCCCAUCUGUUAUAUCAUUCAUGUGUCACAAGUAUUUUUCAAGUUGGUUCACUUCUUUUCAAAUAUAUCUUUAUAAUACUUUUACUACAGCAAAACCUUAAUUUUUGCAUGUAUUUCUGGAGCAAUACUUGUGAAAUUUUUUUUAAAUGACAUUGUUCUUACUUUAAGAAGAAAGCAAACAUUAUGAAAGAGGAUGCAAACUGAGAUGAUUUUUAAAAUAAACUAGGAAGCAUUAAAGAAAUAUCCAUAUACAUGUGCGGAAAUGCUCAACAAGCAGUGCUUUAAAAAGAUCAAGAUUAAGUCUUUUCUUCUCUUUUGUUUUGUUUUGUUUUCUUUCCAUUUUAGGCAAUACUUCACUGUGUAGCUCAGGCAGGACUCUAUCUCAAUUUGUGGGUCAGGCUGGACUCAAACCCACUGUGAGCCUCCUGCUUCUGCCUCCUGAGUGCUAGGAUUUCAGGUGUGUGCCACCAUGCACAGCAAAAUUAAGUUUUCAACAUGAAUGCAAAGUUUUACUGUAUGACCUCUCUCACCUUGCACCACUCAUGAGCUUCAACUUCAGACCCAGAAAAUUAUGUUUUAAGUAUCACUGGCUUUCCAUAUCUGUGUGUCCCAUACCUAUGGAUUCUACCAACCACAAAUCAAAAAAUAUUUAGAAAAAAAAAUUACAACAGUACUGACUAUGCAAAAUGUACAAGCUUUUGUCCUGUC
Cavia porcellus (domestic guinea pig) is the source of this 1636-nucleotide long non-coding RNA. RefSeq lists it as uncharacterized. NCBI's taxonomy places the organism in Eukaryota, Metazoa, Chordata, Mammalia, Rodentia, Caviidae. The transcript is spliced from 3 exons. The record is from RefSeq and is a predicted model, not a curated record.